UAGGGAAUCUUCCACAAUGGACGAAAGUCUGAUGGAGCAACGCCGCGUGAGUGAGGAAGGUUUUCGGAUCGUAAAGCUCUGUUGUUGGUGAAGAAGGAUAGAGGCAGUAACUGGUCUUUAUUUGACGGUAAUCAACCAGAAAGUCACGGCUAACUACGUGCCAGCAGCCGCGGUAAUACGUAGGUGGCAAGCGUUGUCCGGAUUUAUUGGGCGUAAAGCGAGCGCAGGCGGAAUGAUAAGUCUGAUGUGAAAGCCCACGGCUCAACCGUGGAACUGCAUCGGAAACUGUCAUUCUUGAGUGCAGAAGAGGAGAGUGGAACUCCAUGUGUAGCGGUGGAAUGCGUAGAUAUAUGGAAGAACACCAGUGGCGAAGGCGGCUCUCUGGUCUGCAACUGACGCUGAGGCUCGAAAGCAUGGGUAGCGAACAGGAUUAGAUACCCUGGUAGUCCAUGCCGUAAACGAUGAGCGCUAGGUGUUGGGGGACUU
RNAcentral lists this ribosomal RNA (486 nucleotides) under uncultured bacterium. Its description in RNAcentral is "partial 16S ribosomal RNA". It matches the Rfam family "Bacterial small subunit ribosomal RNA", at positions 355 to 833 of the family's 1533-position model. The record is from RNAcentral.